Molecule: ribosomal RNA, 253 nt
Filed under: uncultured bacterium
Lineage: Bacteria
Description: partial 16S ribosomal RNA
Rfam family: Bacterial small subunit ribosomal RNA
Source: RNAcentral
UGCGGAGGAUCCGAGCGUUAUCCGGAUUUAUUGGGUUUAAAGGGAGCGUAGGUGGAUUGUUAAGUCAGUUGUGAAAGUUUGCGGCUCAACCGUAAAAUUGCAGUUGAAACUGGCAGUCUUGAGUACAGUAGAGGUGGGCGGAAUUCGUGGUGUAGCGGUGAAAUGCUUAGAUAUCACGAAGAACUCCGAUUGCGAAGGCAGCUCACUGGACUGCAACUGACACUGAGGCUCGAAAGUGUGGGUAUCAAACAGG